Molecule: ribosomal RNA, 434 nt
Filed under: uncultured Lachnospiraceae bacterium
Lineage: Bacteria; Bacillati; Bacillota; Clostridia; Lachnospirales; Lachnospiraceae
Description: bacterial SSU rRNA
Rfam family: Bacterial small subunit ribosomal RNA
Source: RNAcentral
ACGGGAGGCAGCAGUGGGGAAUAUUGGACAAUGGGGGAAACCCUGAUCCAGCGACGCCGCGUGAGUGAAGAAGUAUUUCGGUAUGUAAAGCUCUAUCAGCAAGGAAGAAAAUGACGGUACUUGACUAAGAAGCUCCGGCUAAAUACGUGCCAGCAGCCGCGGUAAUACGUAGGGGGCAAGCGUUAUCCGGAUUUACUGGGUGUAAAGGGAGCGUAGACGGUUUGGCAAGUCUGAAGUGAAAGCCCGGGGCUCAACCCCGGUAUUGCUUUGGAAACUGUUGAACUAGAGUGCCGGAGGGGUAAGCGGAAUUCCUAGUGUAGCGGUGAAAUGCGUAGAUAUUAGGAGGAACACCAGUGGCGAAGGCGGCUUACUGGACGGUAACUGACGUUGAGGCUCGAAAGCGUGGGGAGCAAACAGGAUUAGAUACCCUGGUA